GACACCCUCCUUCAGCACAAAAUUGUGAAGCCAAGAUUUCAGAACACAAAACCAUGGUGACAACAAUCUCACCCUUGCCAAUUUUACUCAUCCUAUUAUCAUUUUCAUUGUCAGCUUCAGCUUUAAUUCAAGAAAAUUUUGUCCAAUGUCUCAACUUGAACUCAGACAAAACAUUCCCAUUUCAAACAACAAUUUUCACUCCCAAAGAUGCUUCAUUCUCCACCAUCCUUGAUUCCUCUGCACAGAACCUCAGGUGUUUGCUACCUUCAUCUCCAAAACCUGAGUUUAUAUUCACACCCUCUCGCGAUUCCCAUGUCCAAGCAGCAGUAAUCUGCUCCAAGAAGCUUGGCAUUCAUCUGAGAGUGCGAAGCGGCGGCCAUGACUAUGAGGGAGUCUCAUAUGUUUCUGAAAUUGAGACCCCUUUCAUAGUUGUUGAUCUUGUCAAGCUUCGCGGCAUCAAUGUUGAUAUCAAAUCCAACACUGCUUGGAUUCAAGCUGGUGCCACCAUUGGUGAAGUGUACUACAGAAUAUAUGAGAAAAGCUCAGUUCUUGGGUUCCCUGCAGGGCUUUGCACAAGCCUUGGUGUUGGUGGACACAUCACAGGAGGUGCAUAUGGAACCAUGAUGAGAAAGUAUGGCCUUGGUGCUGAUAAUGUUCUAGAUGCUCAAAUUGUUGAUGCCAAUGGCAGAAUUCUUGACAGGGAAGCCAUGGGGGAAGAGCUUUUUUGGGCUAUCAGAGGAGGUGGUGGUGGAAGCUUUGGUAUCCUUCUUUGGUGGAAGAUAAAGCUGGUCCCUGUGCCACCAACUGUAACAGUUUUUACUGUAACUAAGACCCUAGAGCAAGGUGCAACCAAGCUUCUAUAUAGAUGGCAGGAAGUGGCUCCCUAUAUUGAUGAGAAUCUCUUUGUGAGAGUGAUCAUUCAACCAGCUAGUGGUGGAAACAAAACUCAGAGAACUAUCACAACUUCUUACAAUGCUGUCUUCCUUGGCGAGGCCAGAACACUCCUCCAAGUCAUGAAGACAAGCUUUCCUGAACUGGGUUUAACAAGGAAGGAUUGCAUUGAAACUAGCUGGAUCAAAUCAGUGCUCUAUAUUGCAGGCUAUCCAAGUAACACACCUACUGAAGUUCUUCUCAAAGGAAAACCAACAUUCAAAAACUUCUUCAAAGCCAAAUCAGAUUUUGUGACAGAACCCAUACCAGAAAGUGGUCUUGAAGGAUUGUGGCAAAGAUUGCUGGUGGAAGAUAUCCCCUUGAUGAUUUGGAAUCCAUAUGGUGGGAAAAUGAGCGAGUUUUCAGAAUCUGAUAGUCCAUUUCCUCAUAGAAAUGGAACACUGUUCAAGAUCCAGUACCUAUCUAUAUGGCAAGAGGGAGACAAGAAUGCUGCAAAUCAUAUAGAUUGGAUUAGGAAGCUAUACAACUACAUGACUCCUUAUGUGUCUAGCUUCCCAAGGGGAGCAUAUGUGAAUUACAGGGAUCUUGAUUUGGGAAUCAACUCCAAGAACAGCACAAGCUACAUACAAGCAAGUGCUUGGGGUUAUAGGUAUUACAAGGAUAACUUCAACAGGUUGGUGAAGAUUAAGACCAGAGUGGAUCCUGAAAAUGUUUUCAGGCAUGAGCAGAGCAUUCCACCACUUCCAAUCUAAAUGUAAAAGACAACAAAAAGGUGAAUAAGGAACUGUGCUGCUAGAAUCAUUAGACCUAGUAUCUAUAAAUUUGUGAAAGGGAUGAUUAGCUAGCUUAGAGCUAUAAGGAUGGUCUUUUUAAUGUUGUAAGAUACUGAUUGAGGGCCUAAUUGGUUGCUGUGUUUGUGAUUUGUGUGUGUGAAUUAAGUGCCUAAUUGUUUGCAAAUGUAGUUUCUCAAGCAAAAACUGUAAUAGAACUAGUGGUCUUUCUGUAAGGAUAUGAUUCUAAAGUAAAGUGUCUCACAUGAAAAUUCAUGGAGUUUAGCAGCC
RNA transcript from Lotus japonicus, 1952 nucleotides. It is a transcript of the gene named berberine bridge enzyme-like 13, with no coding region annotated. The record is from RefSeq and is a predicted model, not a curated record. NCBI's taxonomy places the organism in Eukaryota, Viridiplantae, Streptophyta, Magnoliopsida, Fabales, Fabaceae. The transcript has 2 exons.